RNAcentral lists this long non-coding RNA (645 nucleotides) under Ananas comosus (pineapple). Its description in RNAcentral is "long non-coding RNA (ACOM_LNC006280)". Lineage: Eukaryota; Viridiplantae; Streptophyta; Magnoliopsida; Poales; Bromeliaceae. The record is from RNAcentral.
UUUUAUUUUUAAAAUUAAAAUUAAAAUUUGUAAAUUUUAAAAAUUUAUAAUUUGUAAUUUGUAAAUUAAAAUUUAUAUUAAGAGUUUGUUUCCAUCCCUAUUUUUAUUUUUAAAAUCUAAAAUUUAAAAUUUUUAUUUUUAUUUUUAUUUUUAAAAAAUUUAUAAUUUGUAAUUUCACAAUUAAAAUUUAUAAUUUUAAAUUUAAUAUUUCAAAAUUUUUAAUUUUUAAAUUUGAUAUUUUAUAUUUUCAAAUUUAAAUUUGAUCUUAAAUUUAAAAUUUAAAAUUUGAGAUUUGAAAUUUUAAUUUUAGAUUUUAAAAUUUAAAAGUUAAAUUUUAAAUUUAAAAAUAUAAAUUUAAAGUUUAAAAAUUCAAAUUCAAAUAUAAUUAGAGAGGUAAUACCAUUAUUUUCUAUUUAUAACUAGUUAUUAUUCUUCUUAUUCAAUCUUAUUUAUCCAAAUACAAUUUUUCUUAAUUUCGAAAACAACCUAAUUUUCAUCCAAACGCAAAGUUUGUCUAAUUCUUACUUAUACCUAAGCUUUUAUCUAUUACUGAAAUAAGCAGUUAUUGCUUAUAUCCGAACCAAACGAAGCCUUUGAAUAUUUCUACUUUGUAUGUGAUAGUUCCUUAACUAGUACUACUUAUAU